UGGGGGAUAUUGCACAAUGGGCGAAAGCCUGAUGUAGCGACGCCGCGUGGGGGAUGAAGGCCUUCGGGUUGUAAACUUCUUUUGCUCUGAACAAGGCAUGCCUUUGGGGUGUGUUGAGUGUAGGGGUUGAUUAGCGCCGGCUAACUACGUGCCAGCAGCCGCGGUAAUACGUAGGGCGCGAGCGUUGUCCGGAAUUAUUGGGCGUAAAGGGCUUGUAGGUGGCUGGUUGCGUCUGUCGUGAAAGCUCAUGGCUUAACUGUGGGUUUGCGGUGGGUACGGGCUGGCUUGAGUGCAGUAGGGGAGGCUGGAAUUCCUGGUGUAGCGGUGGAAUGCGCAGAUAUCAGGAGGAAUACCGGUGGCGAAGGCGGGUCUCUGGGCUGUUACUGACGCUGAGGAGCGAAAGCGUGGGGAGCGCACAGG
This 420-nucleotide ribosomal RNA is filed under the name Fusobacteriota bacterium. RNAcentral's name for it is "Fusobacteria bacterium partial 16S ribosomal RNA". It matches the Rfam family "Bacterial small subunit ribosomal RNA", at positions 355 to 776 of the family's 1533-position model. Lineage: Bacteria; Fusobacteriati; Fusobacteriota. The record is from RNAcentral.